ACUAUUGUCACGGGUUACCGCGGCUGCUGGCACGGAGUUAGCCGGUGCUUCUUCUGUGAGUGAUGUCCUUCCUGCCGGUUAUUGACCCGCAGGCCUUCUUCCUCACUGAAAGUGCUUUACAACCCGAAGGCCUUCUUCACACACGCGGCAUGGCUGGACUCAGGGUUGCCCCCAUUGUCCAAUAUUCCCCACUGCUGCCUCCCGUAGGAGUCUGGGCCGUGUCUCAGUCCCAGUGUGGCUGAUCAUCCUCUCAGACCAGCUACGGAUCGUCGCCUUGGUGAGCCGUUACCUCACCAACCAGCUAAUCCGACAUAGGCUCAUCCGAUAGCGCGAGGCCCGAAGGUCCCCCGC
RNAcentral lists this ribosomal RNA (351 nucleotides) under uncultured bacterium. RNAcentral describes it as "partial 16S ribosomal RNA". The record is from RNAcentral.